This 481-nucleotide ribosomal RNA is filed under the name uncultured Fusobacteriaceae bacterium. Its description in RNAcentral is "bacterial SSU rRNA". It matches the Rfam family "Bacterial small subunit ribosomal RNA", at positions 9 to 507 of the family's 1533-position model. Lineage: Bacteria; Fusobacteriati; Fusobacteriota; Fusobacteriia; Fusobacteriales; Fusobacteriaceae. The record is from RNAcentral.
GAGUUUGAUCCUGGCUCAGGAUGAACGCUGACAGAAUGCUUAACACAUGCAAGUCUACUUGAAUUCUCUUCGGAGAUAGUAAGGUGGCGGACGGGUGAGUAACACGUAAGAACUUGCCUCACAGUUUGGGAUAACUACUGGAAACAGUAGCUAAUACCGGAUAUUAUGACACGGUCGCAUGAUCGAGUUAUGAAAGCUAUAUGCGCUGUGAGAGAGCUUUGCGUCCCAUUAGUUAGUUGGUGAGGUAACGGCUCACCAAGGCAGCGAUGGGUAGCCGGCCUGAGAGGGUGAACGGCCACAAGGGGACUGAGACACGGCCCUUACUCCUACGGGAGGCAGCAGUGGGGAAUAUUGGACAAUGGACCAAAAGUCUGAUCCAGCAAUUCUGUGUGCACGAUGACGGCCUUAGGGUUGUAAAGUGCUUUCAAUCGGGAAGAAGAAAGUGACAGUACCGAUAGAAGAAGCGACGGCUAAAUACGUG